UGGAAAUAUUUUCAAACACUGCUCAGUUUCGAUAAGAGCCCUCUAGUUUGGCCUGAAUAGAGUUGUCUCCCCAAAUAUUAAUCAAGUCUAAAACCUCGCUUUCCCUCCACUGACCCGUCUCCGCAUUGUCAUCCGCCAUGGUUGUUGUUGUUUCUUCCCACUUGUGCCGUGUCGGGCACAGAAUAGUGACGUUCGUCACAUAAUGAUGACGCAUAGGUCAGAUAAAUGCGACCUGGCCAUUCAGACUGUAGUCGCAUGGCAAAAGAUCAGAUAUGUAUCAGAAUUGGGACCACAUACCCAAGUGGCCUGGAUCGGAUUUGAAAAAACCUGAUCUGUGUUCAGACUGUCAUGAAAAGAUCAGAUACAGGUCGCAUAGGGCCAAAAAAAUCGGAUUUGGGCCACUUCAGUGUGCUGUCUGAACGUAGCCUUAGUCUCCAGGACCAUCACUGGAGUAUA
Thalassophryne amazonica is the source of this 456-nucleotide long non-coding RNA. RefSeq lists it as uncharacterized. The transcript has 3 exons. The record is from RefSeq and is a predicted model, not a curated record. NCBI's taxonomy places the organism in Eukaryota, Metazoa, Chordata, Actinopteri, Batrachoidiformes, Batrachoididae.